CAUGGCCUCUUGCAACCCAUAAAUAAGAGGUCCAACCUGCCCAGUGACAAUAAGUUUAACGGCCGCGGUAUUUUAACCGUGCUAAGGUAGCGUAAUCACUUGUCUUUUAAAUGAAGACCCGUAUGAAAGGUGUCACGAGGGCCCUCCUGUCUCCUACUUCAAGUCUAUGAAAUUGAUCUGCCCGUGCAGAAGCGGGCAUACCCCCAUAAGACGAGAAGACCCUGUGGAGCUUAAGACUAUAACCAAUCAUGCCUAGUAACCUGCCCACCAAACGGCACAAAAGGUCCAAUAAGCUUAAUGACAAUGGUUUACUGUCUUCGGUUGGGGCGACCAUGGGGGACAGAAAAGCCCCCAAGAAGAAGCAGGGGACCAAUUCCACCGAUCCCUAAGAGUCAAGAGCUACAACUCUAAACAACAGAAAUAUCUGACUAAUAAUGAUCCAGGUAAUAAACCUGAUCAACGGACCAAGUUACCCCAGGGAUAACAGCGCAAUCCUUUCCCAGAGCCCAUAUCGCCGAAAGGGUUUACGACCUCGAUGUUGGAUCAGGACAUCCUGGUGGCGAAAAUUCUACCAAGGGUUCGUUUGUUCAACGAUUAAAGUCCUACGUGAU
This 611-nucleotide ribosomal RNA is filed under the name Petrocephalus arnegardi. RNAcentral describes it as "partial 16S ribosomal RNA". It matches the Rfam family "Bacterial large subunit ribosomal RNA", at positions 1814 to 2604 of the family's 2925-position model. Lineage: Eukaryota; Metazoa; Chordata; Actinopteri; Osteoglossiformes; Mormyridae. The record is from RNAcentral.